UACCAUGCAAGUCGAACGAUGAUUAUCUAGCUUGCUAGAUAUGAUUAGUGGCGGACGGGUGAGUAACAUUUAGGAAUCUGCCUAGUAGUGGGGGAUAGCUCGGGGAAACUCGAAUUAAUACCGCAUACGACCUACGGGUGAAAGGGGGCGCAAGCUCUUGCUAUUAGAUGAGCCUAAAUCAGAUUAGCUAGUUGGUGGGGUAAAGGCCCACCAAGGCGACGAUCUGUAACUGGUCUGAGAGGAUGAUCAGUCACACCGGAACUGAGACACGGUCCGGACUCCUACGGGAGGCAGCAGUGGGGAAUAUUGGACAAUGGGGGCAACCCUGAUCCAGCCAUGCCGCGUGUGUGAAGAAGGCCUUUUGGUUGUAAAGCACUUUAAGCAGGGAGGAGAGGCUAAUGGUUAAUACCCAUUAGAUUAGACGUUACCUGCAGAAUAAGCACCGGCUAACUCUGUGCCAGCAGCCCGGG
This 470-nucleotide ribosomal RNA is filed under the name Faucicola osloensis. RNAcentral describes it as "bacterial SSU rRNA". It matches the Rfam family "Bacterial small subunit ribosomal RNA", at positions 52 to 521 of the family's 1533-position model. The record is from RNAcentral. Lineage: Bacteria; Pseudomonadati; Pseudomonadota; Gammaproteobacteria; Moraxellales; Moraxellaceae.